This 328-nucleotide long non-coding RNA is filed under the name Equus caballus (horse). Its description in RNAcentral is "lncRNA (ENSECAG00000050546.1)". The record is from RNAcentral. Lineage: Eukaryota; Metazoa; Chordata; Mammalia; Perissodactyla; Equidae.
CAGAUGGCUUGGCUAUAAUAACCAAAGAUGCUGCCAACUAACUGGCAACAGUAUGAAUUUAAAUCGACUGACAAGAGAAGGAAAGAUCAGCAGCAACUCCUCUGGCACAGUCAGUCAGAGCAUCUCCAUGUAGUCAAACGAUAAGCACUGCAUCUUCACAUUUGCUAUUGUGAUCACUGUUGAACCACAAAGACAAGGAUGGAUGAGGAUAAAGAUACGCUUCUCUGCACAACAUACAGAAGGAAUGGUCCUGGAUUAAAUCAGGGUUCUUAACCUCAAUAAUAAGGAAAAGCACAUGGAUCUCUGCUGACUGAGAUCAGAACCUUAG